ACUAUCUUCAGAAAGCCUUUCCAGACUCCAGCUACUCUUCUGCCGCGGCUUUCUUACUUCUUUUCUCUUCUCGGCUUAUUUGGGUUGGCUUCUUUGCCCACGACUGUCACUCUCCACCAAAGACAGAGGAUCCGAUGCAGGAGGCAGACAGAGCUGGGCUUCAACGCCAUGCCACUUGCUGUAGCUGGAGCCUUAUCUGAAAAGGUGAGAGGGACCACGUCAGCCUGCAGACCCACCCACCAACCACUUAAGGUCAAGACAACAAGCUCUUCCCAAGGCAAACCAACCCUAGGACAAAAAUAGAGCCAUCAUUCUGACCCAUUGUCCUUCCGACCAAUUCCUUGGCUUCCCAGCCAUUUGGAAACCUCACUGGGAAGUUUGGAGACCUGUGCUUGCAGGCUGGCCUGGCACAGACAGGCUGGAGUGGGAUGACCCCUGCCGGGGGCGGAUGCACUUGUGGAGCUGGGUCUGGCAGGAGAAGUGGGGUGGAGAGCAGAGACUGCAGGCCUGUCCCCCACCCCCAGCUCUCAGUUACAGCUCGUUUGGCUUCAGCUGUGCUUUUAACCUCUCAGGAGGUAGAUGGAAGCCUGCAGUCGGCGUGCGCCUUCCUCUUCGCUGCCCGGACGGGGCCUGGAUCCUUUCUAACUGUGAGUACAGAAGGAGGACACCUCCCGUUUGGAUCCUGGAUUGUAGGCCAGGUCUACCUAGAAGCCAAUCACUCAAGGGGCAUUUCUGACACCAGUCAUCCGGCUUCUCCAGGACGGCUCAACGGUUCACUAAGGACAGCGUGGGAGGAAAACGUGGCCCAGCCUGAUAGAUAUCUCAGUCUUUUCACCCAGACCGACGCCAGCAAAGCUAAAAAUAAAUCAGCUUUCAGGUCUGGGCACAGAGGCCUGGAAGGCGCAAGCGUUCAUGAGCCAGCAGUAAUGAUGGAACCAGCCCUCUCGUGUGGAAGUCUCUCUGAGUGAACCAGAUGUCGUUGGCCCUAGGAGAUCCACGACCAAGAGUUGAGUUUUCACAGCGUUGAAAGGCCAGCAUUGGCCCUAACGCUAUUGGCCUCAGCAGAAGUCAGGAGCAAGAGUGAAGACCUAAUGAAGAGAGAGAGAGGCUGGAGAGUCUGGACAGAAACCUGCGAGCCUUAGAUUCUCAUGCUGUCUCAUCAAGCGCAGGGCCCAGCUUUUCAUCCAGUGAAGGGUUCCAUGCAGCCCAGAACCACCAUGGCCUUGGAGAAGAGGCUCAGAAGCAGGAGUCAGGAAGCAGAAGCCCUGGCCACUUUGUGGUUGUAGAGUCAUCAUCUAGAAGAGAGAACCAUGAAAUGUAUGUGUAGAAAGACAGCUGGCCUCUCUUCCCACAGGAGUUAACGAUCCAGAGGGGAAGACGAUUUGAGCUCUUUACAGACCCGCGUUAUACAUGACUGGCUGCUGAUCCAUCUCCUUCUCGCUGACCAGGACGAGGAAACUGACUGACAUCGUCAAGCAGCAGCAGUGAAGAUGCAGCGUAGACUUUCUGGACAGACCGGUUGCCAAGAACCAAACUGUGGAAGGAGUAAUAAGUAUUCAUUUAACACCCAGUUAUAUAACACAUAUAUAUCAUAUAACAGAGUUAUAUGAUAGGCACUCUGGGGUAAAAAAAUAAAAAUCACCGAACCGACUCUUAACCUCAAUUUGGGUAUUGAAGAAAGGAUUGUCUUGCCUUGCACAUAGUAGGCAUUUAGUAAAUGUUGAAUUGAAGAAUAUAAUCGAACGGUGAUUCAGCUGAGGGAAGGCCUACACAGAGGAAGGGGGAUCUCAAAUCUCUUCCAAAACUGUAAGAAUGACAAGGCAGGAUGUUCUGUGCAAGGCUGGAGUCACAGCUUUCAAAGACAAUUCAAAUGCUACGUGGUCAAGGCACAAGGGGAAAAACAGCCUCUUGAAUCCCUAAUUGUUUACUUCCUUAAGAGAGUAAGUUUAGCUGGCGGCAUGGAGCUUAUUCAUUCAUUCAUUCAUUCACUUACUCAUCCUGUAAUUAUGAAGCAGUUCUAUAUACUAGGUGCUGGGCUCAGCACUAAGGGUAGAGCAGUUGAAAUAAGAUGAACAGUUUCUUGUCCUCAGGAAGCCUCUAGUCCAGGGAGGAAGUCAGACAUUGAAAAUAGAUGUUCCAGCUGUGAUGAAUGGAUCGAUAGGGGCAAUCAAAGUGCUAUGGAUAUCAUUUGUCGUGUACUGCAAGUUUAUUAACCUAGGAAUAGAUUCAAACAUUGUCAUGUACAUAUUGUGACCAUGACUUUGCAAAUGAACUUUUAACAAACAUAUUGAGACUUAUGCAUAUAAAUAAGUGUUUUUUCCAACAAAGACUCACUUUGGAAGCCCGUGUUCAUAUUUCAAUGAUACUUUUCUGGUUACUG
RNAcentral lists this long non-coding RNA (2380 nucleotides) under Equus caballus (horse). Its description in RNAcentral is "lncRNA (ENSECAG00000036375.3)". Lineage: Eukaryota; Metazoa; Chordata; Mammalia; Perissodactyla; Equidae. The record is from RNAcentral.